AACCUUAUGGACCUGCGGGCGUAUACCUGCGGAAGGAUCAUUACCGAGUUUACAACUCCCAAACCCCUGUGAACAUACCUAUACGUUGCCUCGGCGGAUCAGCCCGCGCCCUGUAAAAAGGGACGGCCCGCCCGAGGACCCUAAACUCUGUUUUUAGUGGAACUUCUGAGUAAAACAAACAAAUAAAUCAAAACUUUUAACAAUGGAUCU
RNAcentral lists this unclassified non-coding RNA (210 nucleotides) under soil metagenome. Its description in RNAcentral is "partial contains 5.8S ribosomal RNA, internal transcribed spacer 2, and large subunit ribosomal RNA". The record is from RNAcentral.